This 303-nucleotide ribosomal RNA is filed under the name uncultured bacterium. RNAcentral describes it as "partial 16S ribosomal RNA". It matches the Rfam family "Bacterial small subunit ribosomal RNA", at positions 507 to 807 of the family's 1533-position model. The record is from RNAcentral.
AGCAGUCGCCGCGGGAAUACGUAGGGUCCGAGCGUUGUCCGGAAUUAUUGGGCGUAAAGAGCUCGUAGGCGGUCUGUCGCGUCUGCCGUGAAAUCCUCAGGCUCAACCUGAGGCGUGCGGUGGGUACGGGCAGGCUAGAGUGCGGUAGGGGAGAAUGGAACUCCUGGUGUAGCGGUGGAAUGCGCAGAUAUCAGGAAGAACACCGAUGGCGAAGGCAGUUCUCUGGGCCGUAACUGACGCUGAGGAGCGAAAGCGUGGGGAGCGAACAGGAUUAGAUACCCCAGUAGUCCCUGUCUCUUAUAC